GCUAGAAUAGCUUAUAGAAAGCAGAACAUUGAAGAUGUUCAUAUGGAUAUCUUUUCCUUUUAGUA
RNAcentral lists this transfer RNA (65 nucleotides) under Scutopus ventrolineatus. RNAcentral's name for it is "tRNA-Phe". The record is from RNAcentral. Lineage: Eukaryota; Metazoa; Mollusca; Caudofoveata; Limifossorida; Scutopodidae.